GAGUUUGAUCCUGGCUCAGGACGAACGCUGGCGGCGUGCCUAACACAUGCAAGUCGAACGGGGAUAUUGAUUUCGGUUGAUAUCCCAGUGGCGAACGGGUGAGUAACGCGUGAGCAACCUGACCUUUUGAGGGGGAUAACACCUGGAAACAAGUGCUAAUACCGCAUAAGACCACGGAGCGGCAUCGUUCAGGGGUCAAAGGAGGAAUCCGCAGAAGGAGGGGCUCGCGUCCCAUUAGGUAGUUGGUGAGGUAACGGCCCACCAAGCCUGCGAUGGGUAGCCGACCUGAGAGGGUGAUCGGCCACACUGGAACUGAGACACGGUCCAGACUCCUACGGGAGGCAGCAGUGGGGAAUAUUGGGCAAUGGGGGAAACCCUGACCCAGCAACGCCGCGUGAGGGAAGAAGGUUUUCGGAUUGUAAACCUCUGUCCUAAGAGAAGAGGGGAAGACGGUAUCUUAGGAGGAAGCCCCGGCUAACUACGUGCCAGCCGCCGCGGUAAUAC
RNAcentral lists this ribosomal RNA (504 nucleotides) under uncultured bacterium. Its description in RNAcentral is "bacterial SSU rRNA". It matches the Rfam family "Bacterial small subunit ribosomal RNA", at positions 9 to 526 of the family's 1533-position model. The record is from RNAcentral.